Molecule: non-coding RNA, 90 nt
Filed under: uncultured Veillonella sp.
Lineage: Bacteria; Bacillati; Bacillota; Negativicutes; Veillonellales; Veillonellaceae
Source: RNAcentral
AUUCAGGGGAGCUUAUUGCUGAGAGGAAGUUCAUCUAACUUCGACCCUUAUACCUGAUGCGGAUAAUGCCGUCGUAGGAAGAUGUUAUAU